UGGGGAAUAUUGCACAAUGGGCGAAAGCCUGAUGCAGCAACGCCGCGUGAGUGAUGAAGGUCUUCGGAUUGUAAAGCUCUGUCUUUUGGGACGAUAAUGACGGUACCAAAGGAGGAAGCCACGGCUAACUACGUGCCAGCAGCCGCGGUAAUACGUAGGUGGCGAGCGUUGUCCGGAUUUACUGGGCGUAAAGGGUGCGUAGGCGGAUGUUUAAGUGAGAUGUGAAAUACCCGGGCUUAACUUGGGUGCUGCAUUUCAAACUGGAUAUCUAGAGUGCAGGAGAGGAGAAUGGAAUUCCUAGUGUAGCGGUGAAAUGCGUAGAGAUUAGGAAGAACACCAGUGGCGAAGGCGAUUCUCUGGACUGUAACUGACGCUGAGGCACGAAAAGCGUGGGUAGCAAACAGGAUUAGAUACCCUGGUAGUCCACGCCGUAAAACGAUGAGUACUAGGUGUAGGAGGUAUCGACCCCUUCUGUGCCGCAGUAAAACACA
RNAcentral lists this ribosomal RNA (491 nucleotides) under uncultured bacterium. RNAcentral describes it as "partial 16S ribosomal RNA". It matches the Rfam family "Bacterial small subunit ribosomal RNA", at positions 355 to 859 of the family's 1533-position model. The record is from RNAcentral.